This 429-nucleotide ribosomal RNA is filed under the name Chloroflexota bacterium. RNAcentral describes it as "Chloroflexi bacterium partial 16S ribosomal RNA". It matches the Rfam family "Bacterial small subunit ribosomal RNA", at positions 355 to 776 of the family's 1533-position model. Lineage: Bacteria; Bacillati; Chloroflexota. The record is from RNAcentral.
UGGGGAAUAUUGCACAAUGGGCGCAAGCCUGAUGCAGCCAUGCCGCGUGUGUGAAGAAGGCCUUCGGGUUGUAAAGCACUUUCAGCGGGGAGGAAGGCGGUGAGGUUAAUAACCUCAUCGAUUGACGUUACCCGCAGAAGAAGCACCGGCUAACUCCGUGCCAGCAGCCGCGGUAAUACGGAGGGUGCAAGCGUUAAUCGGAAUUACUGGGCGUAAAGCGCACGCAGGCGGUCUGUCAAGUCGGAUGUGAAAUCCCCGUGCUCAACCUGGGAACUGCAUUCGAAACUGGCAGGCUUGAGUCUUGUAGAGGGGUGUAGAAUUCCAGGUGUAGCGGUGAAAUGCGUAGAGAUCUGGAGGAAUACCGGUGGCGAAGGCGGCCCCCUGGACAAAGACUGACGCUCAGGUGCGAAAGCGUGGGGAGCAAACAGG